CAAGUCCAUCGUAAUUCCAUUUCGUACAAUGAUACUUAUCUGACUUGAAACGAAAUAUAAAAAUGUAUUCUUCUUUUCCACUGCAUCUUGCGAUUAUUUUGUGCACGGGAGUGUGACACGUGGGUCCAUUGAUUCUUUUGAAAAAUAGCGAACUCGUUUAUUCGCGCCGCGAUUAUUAUUUUAUUCUCUGAUCGAUCGUGGUUUCUCUGUCGUUUCUUCCUGCAUACUUUGAAGUGAAAUUUCAAGCAUAUCGGAGUUUAAAAUUUUUCGAUAUUUCCAAAAGUUUAAUGUCGCGAAAAUAGAAUGUUUAAAACAGUUUAAUACAACUCGUUUCUUGUUCCUUUCGCAGGACACGAAAUUGUAUAUACAGUGCCAGUAGCUUUAUCUUCUUUUUCUCGUUCCAAUUUAGACAAAUGUGUCUUUGAUACCGAAUGCUGCCAGUAGGGCUACGAAUUAUUGUACUAUGUUUAUAAAGUUCGAUGUGAUCGUUGUGUAGGAUGUAAACAUUGCAUCUAUACAUGCUUCGUUUGAUAUUUGGAAAGAUUCGUGUAAGCGCUGCGUAGAAGAUGAAUGUUUUUGUUGAUGUUUAUAUUUUUUUUGUAGAUCGUUAACUGUGUUCCUGAUUGUGUCACCGGCUCGAGCGUCCCCUCCCCUUCCCCCGUCACUUUGGAAGAUGCACAGCGAAACUAUGGUACAAGAAAUCAUUCAGUCGUCUGAUUUCGUACCGAUAACGUGGAUCGCGUUGUGUCAGGUUAUUGAUCGAUAGCAGGGAUAAUAUAGAAGUAACUGGAAUAUUAAUAUGUGGACGCAACGACAAUUAAUGAUGAAUCCGAUGAAUUUUCAUGGAAAUUUAGUAGUGUUUAAUUUAUUUUAACCAAGACAGCUGUGUAUGAACAAUUCUAUUGCCUUGUUAUACGAGCAUGGGUAACAUUUGAUAUUCAAUUUAUAUUUACUUUAUAACAUAUUUGAUAUAUAUUUCAUAAUGGAUAAUUUCGUAAUUACUUGGAAUACUAAGAUGAAAGUAAAUACGAUUAAAUAAAUCAUUGUUCUAGUUCGAACAUAUGAAAUCAUUCUCCUGUUUCAAACGAAUUUGUAACGAAUUAUUUUACUGUUUCAAUGUAAUUUGCGAUAUAGAAUUCUUGAUAAUUUAACGAUAGCUUCUUGUAGACAGUUUAAAACAUAGAAAUCUUAAUAAAAAUAGCUUUAACUUAUUUUGAUAGGCAUUGUAACAUUCACAUAUCGAAUUAAAAUUAUUUUGGUAUAUUAUGUGAAUUUGCUACAGUUAACGUCAUAUACUUGCAAAUUCGUAGCUUAUAUCUUUUUCAUAGAGGUGGCGCGCUAGUAAACUCAAACACUUCAAAGCAAAGUUUCGUGCGCAUUUCUGUAGUAUUCUUUAAUUAUAUUUAGUUGUGAACUUUUGGAUUCUUGCAAAUAUUUCCGAAUAUUUAUAACACGCGACUACAGUAUCGUAGUGCAGUGUAUAUUUCAUAUUCUAGUAACGAACAUUUACAGUAUAAUUCUUGUAAAUGAUUGCAUUACAUUCACGGUAUUUGUAAACAUUUGUUCAAUAUCGAAAAAUAUCUUAUAAUUUUCAAAUAAUAUUUUUCAUACGUAUUCCAAAUUCUUAAUAACAAUUUUUUAGGUGUACAAAGAAUAGCAGUAUUUUCUAAAUAAACGUUCGAUAGAAAAAAGAAGAAAGAUACCGAAACGAUAUUCGCUUCGUUUACACCCCCUCCUCAGUCCGCCAUUACACAAUUUUAUUUUUAGAGAAUAUUUGGGACCGAGCACAAUGCGGUUUGCAGAGUCAGUGUUUGCUAUGCAAAAGUAUUUUUUAAUACUUCCAAAUCAUGAUAGUUUUGAUGAAAUUCAAUCGAAUAAUCACACACGAAAGUAAUAAAAUUUUAAAAAAGAAAUUUGUACGCUAUAUUAGAGUCUUUAUAUAUAUACUCUUUUUUUCUUUUUUUUUUUUUUUUGAACAUUCGUUUUCGGUAUUAGAAUCAUUGCAUCUCUUAAGAAGAUAAAGCCUAUCCAGGAGCUCAAGAAUACAUACCACUGCUUCGACUUCUUCAUCUUUUUUUGGAAUGUUCUAACAGUGACUCAAAAGCCAAGAAGUAAAUUUUUCGCAACCUCCAUUUCCACCAUUGGCCUUUCAACGGUUCCUGACUGAUGUUAGUCUCCCUGAUGAUAUUCGCUGGGAUACCGCAGCAUCCAUGGUACGUCCUUUGUUUCUCCGUAUCGAACGGUGA
This is a long non-coding RNA of Bombus impatiens (common eastern bumble bee), 2246 nucleotides long. RefSeq lists it as uncharacterized. The record is from RefSeq and is a predicted model, not a curated record. Lineage: Eukaryota; Metazoa; Arthropoda; Insecta; Hymenoptera; Apidae. The transcript is spliced from 4 exons.